Episyrphus balteatus (marmalade hoverfly) is the source of this 426-nucleotide long non-coding RNA. RefSeq lists it as uncharacterized. The transcript is spliced from 2 exons. The record is from RefSeq and is a predicted model, not a curated record. NCBI's taxonomy places the organism in Eukaryota, Metazoa, Arthropoda, Insecta, Diptera, Syrphidae.
CAUAAAAAGGAUUAUGGUGUGUUCCUAUUUUAUCUAACUUCCUCAGCUGGUUUCCAAAUUCUAAUUAGAAUUAGGUAGAAAAGGAGAGAAAAUAACACGAAAAAGAACCUUUGUCGUCAUAAAAUUCCCAUCAGGUCAGGAGAGUUUAACAAAAACAAGUUGAUUCUGUUGUUCUUGUGUACUUUUAACUCAACUCGGUAUAUCGGUCAAAGGAGUUUUUUUUUUAUUAAUUAAAUAACACCGUAGUUAAAAUACUAGAAUUUAAAAAGGAAUAAAAUAUUUAAAAAAAAUCUAAAAACGAAUUGAAAAAAAAAGAAACAACGAAAAAACAGUGUCGACGUCGCGUGUUUUUUAAAAUACGGUUUUAGUGUUUUUAGUGAAACACGCAAUUUGGUGAAUUCAAUUUUCUUCGAUUUUGAUUUAGAG